Molecule: ribosomal RNA, 1377 nt
Filed under: Salmonella enterica subsp. enterica serovar Enteritidis
Lineage: Bacteria; Pseudomonadati; Pseudomonadota; Gammaproteobacteria; Enterobacterales; Enterobacteriaceae
Description: partial 23S ribosomal RNA
Rfam family: Bacterial large subunit ribosomal RNA
Source: RNAcentral
ACACUAUCAUUAACUGAAUCCAUAGGUUAAUGAGGCGAACCGGGGGAACUGAAACAUCUAAGUACCCCGAGGAAAAGAAAUCAACCGAGAUUCCCCCAGUAGCGGCGAGCGAACGGGGAGGAGCCCAGAGCCUGAAUCAGCAUGUGUGUUAGUGGAAGCGUCUGGAAAGGCGCGCGAUACAGGGUGACAGCCCCGUACACAAAAGCGCAUGUGCUGUGAGCUCGAUGAGUAGGGCGGGACACGUGGUAUCCUGUCUGAAUAUGGGGGGACCAUCCUCCAAGGCUAAAUACUCCUGACUGACCGAUAGUGAACCAGUACCGUGAGGGAAAGGCGAAAAGAACCCCGGCGAGGGGAGUGAAAAAGAACCUGAAACCGUGUACGUACAAGCAGUGGGAGCACCCUUUGGGUGUGACUGCGUACCUUUUGUAUAAUGGGUCAGCGACUUAUAUUCUGUAGCAAGGUUAACCGAAUAGGGGAGCCGGAGGGAAACCGAGUCUUAACCGGGCGUUAAGUUGCAGGGUAUAGACCCGAAACCCGGUGAUCUAGCCAUGGGCAGGUUGAAGGUUGGGUAACACUAACUGGAGGACCGAACCGACUAAUGUUGAAAAAUUAGCGGAUGACCUGUGGCUGGGGGUGAAAGGCCAAUCAAACCGGGAGAUAGCUGGUUCUCCCCGAAAGCUAUUUAGGUAGCGCCUCGUGAAUUCAUCUCCGGGGGUAGAGCACUGUUUCGGCUAGGGGGCCAUCCCGGCUUACCAACCCGAUGCAAACUGCGAAUACCGGAGAAUGUUAUCACGGGAGACACACGGCGGGUGCUAACGUCCGUCGUGAAGAGGGAAACAACCCAGACCGCCAGCUAAGGUCCCAAAGUCAUGGUUAAGUGGGAAACGAUGUGGGAAGGCCCAGACAGCCAGGAUGUUGGCUUAGAAGCAGCCAUCAUUUAAAGAAAGCGUAAUAGCUCACUGGUCGAGUCGGCCUGCGCGGAAGAUGUAACGGGGCUAAACCAUGCACCGAAGCUGCGGCAGCGACACUGUGUGUUGUUGGGUAGGGGAGCGUUCUGUAAGCCUGUGAAGGUGUGUCGUGAGGCAUGCUGGAGGUAUCAGAAGUGCGAAUGCUGACAUAAGUAACGAUAAAGCGGGUGAAAAGCCCGCUCGCCGGAAGACCAAGGGUUCCUGUCCAACGUUAAUCGGGGCAGGGUGAGUCGACCCCUAAGGCGAGGCCGAAAGGCGUAGUCGAUGGGAAACGGGUUAAUAUUCCCGUACUUGGUGUUACUGCGAAGGGGGGACGGAGAAGGCUAUGUUGGCCGGGCGACGGUUGUCCCGGUUUAAGCGUGUAGGCUGGUUUUCCAGGCAAAUCCGGAAAAUCAAGGCUGAGGCGUGA